Molecule: ribosomal RNA, 1511 nt
Filed under: uncultured organism
Description: bacterial SSU rRNA
Rfam family: Bacterial small subunit ribosomal RNA
Source: RNAcentral
UUGAUCCUGGCUCAGAACGAACGCUGGCGGCGUGGAUUAGGCAUGCAAGUCGAACGAGAAGGUCUUCCUUCAAGUUUUCGGACGAGAAGGUUGACUGGAAAGUGGCGAAAGGGUGAGUAACGCGUGGGUAAUCUGCCUCCUAGUCGGGGAUAGCCUCGCGAAAGCGUGGUUAAUACCGGAUAUGGUCCCCCGGUGCCUACCGGGGUAUCCAAAGGUGGGGACCUUCGGGCCUACCGCUUGGAGAUGAGCCCGCGUCCCAUCAGCUUGUUGGUAGGGUAACGGCCUACCAAGGCUUACGGGUAGCUGGUCUGAGAGGAUGGUCAGCCACACUGGGACUGAGACACUGCCCAGACUCCUACGGGAGGCUGCAGUCGAGAAUCAUUCGCAAUGCGCGAAAGCGUGACGAUGCGACGCCGCGUGCAGGAUGAAGGCCUUAGGGUCGUAAACUGCUGUCAUGGGGGAGUAACGGCUGCGGUGCGAACAGCACCGCGGUGUGAUAGUACCCCAAGAGGAAGCCACGGCUAACUCUGUGCCAGCAGCCGCGGUAAUACAGAGGUGGCGAGCGUUGUUCGGAUUUACUGGGCGUAAAGGGUGCGCAGGCGGCUCCGUGUGUCAGAUGUGAAAUCUCACCGUCCAUCGGUGAACGUGCAUUUGAAACUGCGGGGCUAGAGUACGGGAGAGGAGAGCGGAAUUCUCGGUGUAGCGGUGAAAUGCGUAGAUAUCGAGAAGAACGCCGGUGGCGAAGGCGGCUCUCUGGAACGCUACUGACGCUGAGGCACGAAAGCUGGGGGAGCAAACAGGAUUAGAUACCCUGGUAGUCCCAGCCGUAAACGUUGUGCACUUGGUGUGGGAAGGUUUGUCCCUUUCCGUGCCGGAGUUAACGCGUUAAGUGCACCGCCUGGGGAAUACGGCCGCAAGGCUAAAACUCAAAGGAAUUGACGGGGGCCCGCACCAGCGGUGGAGCAUGUGGCUUAAUUCGAUGCAACGCGAAGAACCUUACCAGGGUUUGACAUGGAGACCCUUCGGGGGUGGGUGCGAAAGCACCCUUUACUCACACAGGUGCUGCAUGGCUGUCGUCAGCUCGUGCCGUAAGGUGUUGGGUUAAGUCCCGCAACGAGCGCAACCCUUGUGGUUAGUUGCCAGUAUCCUUCGGGAUACGCACUCUAGCCAGACUGCCCGUGAUAAGCGGGAGGAAGGUGGGGAUGACGUCAAGUCAGUAUGGUCCUUAUGCCCUGGGCUGCACACGUGCUACAAUGGGCGGUACAGAGGGAAGCGAUACCGCGAGGUAAAGCUAAUCCUUAAAACCGUCCUCAGUUCGGAUCGGAGUCUGCAACUCGACUCCGUGAAGUUGGAAUCGCUAGUAAAGGCGUAUCAGCUAUGACGCCUUGAAUACGUUCCCGGGCCUUGUACACACCGCCCGUCACAUCACGAAAGCCGAUUGCACCCGAAGUCGCCGGCCUAACCCGUUAGGGAUGGAGGCGCCGAAGGUGUGGUUGGUGAUUGGGAUGAAG